RNAcentral lists this long non-coding RNA (727 nucleotides) under Elaeis guineensis (African oil palm). RNAcentral describes it as "long non-coding RNA (EGUI_LNC022051)". Lineage: Eukaryota; Viridiplantae; Streptophyta; Magnoliopsida; Arecales; Arecaceae. The record is from RNAcentral.
GUGAAGUUUGGAAGGCACUGUAGAAGUUCGUCCGCUGGAGGAGUCUUAAGGAUACUGUGGAAGGUUGACCGCUGGAGGAGUCUGAAAUUCAAUUCUAUUGUAGAAGUUUGGACGGAGUUCGAUUCUUGUAGGAAUCUGGAAGGAGGUCGCUUACUGUAGAAGCAAUUCGGAAGGAGGCUGCUUACUGUAGAAGCUCGAAUGAAGAUCGGUUGCCGUGGAAGCUCAGAUGGAGACUUCUUAUUAUAGAAGCUCGGAUGAAGUCUGCUUAUAAUAGAAGUUUGGAGUAGAGAUCCGACUAGUGGAGCCCGUCGGUUGUAGAAGUUCAUCUGGAAUCCAUCUGCUGUAGAAGUUCAGAUGGAGUCCGGCUCUUGUAGGAGCUCGGAUGAAAUUUGAAAGGUGGUCGACCACUGUAAAAACUUGGAUGGAGUCUGGUUACUAUAGAAGUCUUGCCGCUGGAGAAGCUCAGUCAUUGACGAAGUCCGAAAGAAGUUCGGAGUAAAGUCGAUCAUGGCUGGAAGAAGUCUGGAAGAGAUUCAGAGAGUAGUCGAUCACUGUAGAAAAUUGACUGAUAGUGAAGUCCAAAGAGCAUUUGGAGCAGUCCGAUAGAUGAAUGGAGGAGCUCAUUAUUGGAGAAGUCUGGAUGGCAUGAUAGGAGUUCGUCCAUUGGAGGAACCUGGAGGACACUGUGGAAGGUCGACUACUAGGAGAGUCCGGAUGGUAUUAUGGA